AACGAACGCUGGCGGCAUGCCUAACACAUGCAAGUCGAACGAACCCUUCGGGUCUUUUCGCCCCCGGGUUCAUAACCCGUCGGAACCUGCCCUUAUGUUUGGACUAACUCUCCGAAAGGGGUGCUAUCACCGGACCGUGUCUUCUAACCAAAGAUAUAUCGACUUUGGAUGGUCCCGCGUUGGAUUAGCUAGUUGGUAGGGUAAAAGCCUACUAAGGCGACGAUUCAUAGCUGGGUUGAGAGGAUGAUCAGCCACACUGGGACUGAGACACGGCCCAGACUCCUACGGGAGGCAGCAGUGGGGAAUAUUGGACAAUGGGCGAAAGCCUGAUCCAGCAAUGCCGCGUGAGUGAUGAAGGCCUUAGGGUUGUAAAGCUCUUUUACCCGGGAUGAUAAUGACAGUACCGGGAGAAUAAGCGCCGGCUAACUCCGUG
Molecule: ribosomal RNA, 433 nt
Filed under: uncultured bacterium
Lineage: Bacteria
Description: partial 16S ribosomal RNA
Rfam family: Bacterial small subunit ribosomal RNA
Source: RNAcentral